AGCUGGCUAAACUGCAAGUCGAGGGAGAAAUCCGCUUCGAUGAGUAAACCGGCGAACGGGUGCGUAACACGUGGAUAAUCUACCUCCAUGACCGGGACAACUGGCCGAAAGGCUUGCUAAUACCGGAUAAGCCCACGGACUCUUCGGGGUUUGAGGGAAAAGGUGGCCUCUGUAAACAAGCUAUCGCAGGGAGAUGAGUCCGCGGCCCAUCAGCUAGUUGGCGGGGUAAGAGCCCACCAAGGCAACGACGGGUAGCUGGUCUGAGAGGAUGAUCAGCCACACUGGAACUGAGACACGGUCCAGACUCCUACGGGAGGCAGCAGUGGGGAAUCUUGCGCAAUGGGCGAAAGCCUGACGCAGCAACGCCGCGUGUGUGAUGAAGGUCUUCGGAUCGUAAAGCACUGUCGCGAGGGAAGAUACGCUUCUGACUAACAAGCGGAGGCUAAGACGGUACCUCGAGAGGAAGCACCGGCUAACUCUGUGCCAGCAGCCGCGGUAAUACAGAGGGUGCGAGCGUUGUUCGGAAUUAUUGGGCGUAAAGCGCUUGUAAGCGGCUUGUUAAGUCGCGUGUGAAAUCCCCAGCUUAACCUGGGAAGUGCGCGCGAAACUGGCGAGCUUGAAUGCCGGAAAGGGUCACGGAAUUCCCGGUGUAAAGGUGAAUUCGUAGAUAUCGGGAGGACACCCAGUGGCGAAGGCGGCGACCUGAACGGACAUUGACCGUGAAACGCCAAAGCUUGGGGAACAAACAGGAUUAGAACCCUGGGAAACCACACUGAAAACCAUGGGUGCUAAUUGGGGCGGAUUUUGACCCGGUCGUGGACAGAGUAAGCGACAAAGCGCUCCCCCUGGGAAAUAGCGGCCCUAAGGCUAAAACUCAGAGGAAU
Molecule: ribosomal RNA, 884 nt
Filed under: Cystobacterineae bacterium enrichment culture clone CTBE CDB1001F03
Lineage: Bacteria; Pseudomonadati; Myxococcota; Myxococcia; Myxococcales
Description: bacterial SSU rRNA
Rfam family: Bacterial small subunit ribosomal RNA
Source: RNAcentral